Non-coding RNA from Styela clava, 358 nucleotides. The record is from RefSeq and is a predicted model, not a curated record. NCBI's taxonomy places the organism in Eukaryota, Metazoa, Chordata, Ascidiacea, Stolidobranchia, Styelidae.
GUAUUUCAGGAAAUUUUGAGAUUUGCUCAGUGAAAAGCGAGGUACAAAAAAAUUGGACUUGGUUGAAGAGCGAGUGUUGUGUUCAUGCACAGAGUGUGUUGGAGUGUGGUCAAGUCUUUUCCACUAGCAAGCAGGCAGGCAUCAUCGGCGAAGAGCUUGGUUAGAAGAUUAGACCAGUUCGACAAGUCAUUUACAGAGAGAAAAAAAGCCAAAGGCCCGAUAAUUGAACCCUGGACAAUUCCGCACUGAAUGGGCAACAUUGGGGACUUAUGAGAACCUAAUUCAACAAAUUGAAAACGACCACUCAGGUUCAAUAUUAUUUGGUGAACCUCGGAAGGUGUCGUUUGCUCCAGAAAAA